This 484-nucleotide ribosomal RNA is filed under the name uncultured bacterium. Its description in RNAcentral is "partial 16S ribosomal RNA". It matches the Rfam family "Bacterial small subunit ribosomal RNA", at positions 30 to 507 of the family's 1533-position model. The record is from RNAcentral.
AUUGAACGCUGGCGGCAGGCCUAACACAUGCAAGUCGAGCGGAUGAAGGGAGCUUGCUCCUGGAUUCAGCGGCGGACGGGUGAGUAAUGCCUAGGAAUCUGCCUGGUAGUGGGGGAUAACGUCCGGAAACGGGCGCUAAUACCGCAUACGUCCUGAGGGAGAAAGUGGGGGAUCUUCGGACCUCACGCUAUCAGAUGAGCCUAGGUCGGAUUAGCUAGUUGGUGGGGUAAAGGCCUACCAAGGCGACGAUCGGUAACUGGUCUGAGAGGAUGAUCAGCCACACUGGAACUGAGACACGGUCCAGACUCCUACGGGAGGCAGCAGUGGGGAAUAUUGGACAAUGGGCGAAAGCCUGAUCCAGCCAUGCCGCGUGUGUGAAGAAGGUCUUCGGAUUGUAAAGCACUUUAAGUUGGGAGGAAGGGCAGUAAGUUAAUACCUUGCUGUUUUGACGUUACCAACAGAAUAAGCACCGGCUAACUUCGUG